This is a non-coding RNA of Caenorhabditis elegans, 72 nucleotides long. The record is from Ensembl. Lineage: Eukaryota; Metazoa; Nematoda; Chromadorea; Rhabditida; Rhabditidae.
AAUAGAUUUUUGGACACGAAAGGUUAAAACAAAGCCUAAUAUUUUGAGCGCAACUUGCUCCAUUCAUGUAUU